GGUUGGCUCAGUGGUUAAGAGCACUGACUGUUCUUCCAGAAGUCCUGAGUUCAAUUCCCAGCAACCA
This 67-nucleotide transfer RNA is filed under the name Cricetulus griseus (Chinese hamster). It matches the Rfam family "tRNA". From Rfam's summary of the family: Transfer RNA (tRNA) molecules are approximately 80 nucleotides in length. Their secondary structure includes four short double-helical elements and three loops (D, anti-codon, and T loops). Further hydrogen bonds mediate the characteristic L-shaped molecular structure. tRNAs have two regions of fundamental functional importance: the anti-codon, which is responsible for specific mRNA codon recognition, and the 3' end, to which the tRNAs corresponding amino acid is attached (by aminoacyl-tRNA synthetases). tRNAs cope with the degeneracy of the genetic code in two manners: having more than one tRNA (with a specific anti-codon) for a particular amino acid; and 'wobble' base-pairing, i.e. permitting non-standard base-pairing at the 3rd anti-codon position. Lineage: Eukaryota; Metazoa; Chordata; Mammalia; Rodentia; Cricetidae. The record is from Rfam by way of RNAcentral.